Molecule: ribosomal RNA, 323 nt
Filed under: uncultured bacterium
Lineage: Bacteria
Description: bacterial SSU rRNA
Rfam family: Bacterial small subunit ribosomal RNA
Source: RNAcentral
ACUGGAAACGGUGAGUAAUACCGCAUACGCCCUUCGGGGGAAAGAUUUAUCGGAGAAGGAUCGGCCCGCGUUAGAUUAGAUAGUUGGUGGGUAACGGCCUACCAAGUCUACGAUCUAUAGCUGGUUUUAGAGGAUGAUCAGCAACACUGGGACUGAGACACGGCCCAGACUCCUACGGGAGGCAGCAGUGGGGAAUCUUAGACAAUGGGCGCAAGCCUGAUCUAGCCAUGCCGCGUGUGUGAUGAAGGUCUUAGGAUCGUAAAGCACUUUCGCCAGGGAUGAUAAUGACAGUACCUGGUAAAGAAACCCCGGCUAACUCCGUG